CGCGUAGGCGGACCUUCAAGUCGGAUGUGAAAUCUUGCAGCUCAACUGCAAGCCUGCAUUCGAAACUGAGGGUCUUGAGUACAGUAGAGGAAAGCGGAAUUCCAGGUGUAGCGGUGAAAUGCGUAGAUAUCUGGAAGAACACCAGUAGCGAAGGCGGCUUUCUGGGCUGAUACUGACGCUGAAGCGCGAAGGCUUGGGUAGCAAACAGGAUUAGAUACCCUGGUAGUCC
Molecule: ribosomal RNA, 229 nt
Filed under: uncultured bacterium
Lineage: Bacteria
Description: partial 16S ribosomal RNA
Rfam family: Bacterial small subunit ribosomal RNA
Source: RNAcentral